Molecule: long non-coding RNA, 605 nt
Organism: Ailuropoda melanoleuca (giant panda)
Lineage: Eukaryota; Metazoa; Chordata; Mammalia; Carnivora; Ursidae
Exons: 4
Source: RefSeq, a predicted model, not a curated record
GGGAAACUGAGGCCUAGAGGAAUGGCGGUAUCUACUGAAGGUCAAUCCCUAAUUAGUUGAAGAGAGGUCGAGGGGUUGAUGCUGUGGAAGACGGAUGAGAAGGCACUGCUCGAGAAGCGGGGGGAGGACAGGGGGAAGCUCAUGCUCACGGGCCGCUCUGUAACCAAGACAAGCCACAGGGGAAAGGAGGGCUGCUUUUGUUCUGAGCCUCCCCAGGAAAGUGCUUCCAGGCACCAACCACAGGCUUCCCCUGAGCACAGCGAGGUUCAACUCUUGUGUCCGCAGCACAGAACCUGGCCCUGAGGAGCGGCUAAUAAACGCUGGAUGAGAAAAUACAAUGGCAUGAGAAUGUGAGUAUCAGUGUGUGUGCACCCUGUGCUGCACCUGGAACCCCCCCCAACACACACACAAAGGGCACUGCUGCCACCCCCAGGGUCAUGCACCAGCUGAGAGGGGAGACACCCAUGCCUUGCGGACCCUGUCCCAGCCCCCACGUGCCCACAGUGGCCCCAGUAGGGGCCACAUCUCCCUGGUUCUGAGCCCUGAGAGCUCGAGCUGGCCUUGCCCUGAAAGAGGGAGAAGGGGAAGCUCUUUUGCUGCCUAGA